CCGACGGGACGACCGCGUCGGUGGCCGUGACCGGGACCGGGACGACCCGG
This 50-nucleotide non-coding RNA is filed under the name Fimbriiglobus ruber. RNAcentral describes it as "Guanidine-II sequence". It matches the Rfam family "Guanidine-II riboswitch aptamer (mini-ykkC)". Rfam says of the family: Simpler in structure and has fewer highly conserved nucleotide positions than the ykkC-yxkD leader. Lineage: Bacteria; Pseudomonadati; Planctomycetota; Planctomycetia; Gemmatales; Gemmataceae. The record is from Rfam by way of RNAcentral.